GUAGGGAAUCUUCCACAAUGGGCGAAAGCCUGAUGGAGCAACGCCGCGUGAGUGAAGAAGGUUUUCGGAUCGUAAAGCUCUGUUGUUGGUGAAGAAGGAUAGAGGUAGUAACUGGCCCCUAUUUGACGGUAAUCAACCAGAAAGUCACGGCUAACUACGUGCCAGCAGCCGCGGUAAUACGUAGGUGGCAAGCGUUGUCCGGAUUUAUUGGGCGUAAAGCGAGCGCAGGCGGAAAGAUAAGUCUGAUGUGAAAGCCCCCGGCUUAACCGAGGAAUUGCAUCGGAAACUGUGUUUCUUGAGUGCAGAAGAGGAGAGUGGAACUCCAUGUGUAGCGGUGGAAUGCGUAGAUAUAUGGAAGAACACCAGUGGCGAAGGCGGCUCUCUGGUCUGUAACUGACGCUGAGGCUCGAAAGCAUGGGUAGCGAACAGGAUUAGAUACCCUAGUAGUCC
RNAcentral lists this ribosomal RNA (450 nucleotides) under uncultured bacterium. RNAcentral's name for it is "bacterial SSU rRNA". It matches the Rfam family "Bacterial small subunit ribosomal RNA", at positions 354 to 796 of the family's 1533-position model. The record is from RNAcentral.